GACGAACGCUGGCGGCGUGCCUAAUACAUGCAAGUAGAACGCUGAAGGAGGAGCUUGCUUCUCUGGAUGAGUUGCGAACGGGUGAGUAACGCGUAGGUAACCUGCCUGGUAGCGGGGGAUAACUAUUGGAAACGAUAGCUAAUACCGCAUAAGAGUAGAUGUUGCAUGACAUUUACUUAAAAGGUGCAAUUGCAUCACUACCAGAUGGACCUGCGUUGUACUAGCUAGUUGGUGAGGUAACGGCUCCCCAAGGCAACGAUACAUAGCCGACCUGAGAGGGGGAGCGGCCACACUGGGACUGAGACACGGCCCAGACUCCUACGGGAGGCAGCAGUAGGGAAUCUUCGGCAAUGGACGGAAGUCUGACCGAGCAACGCCGCGUGAGUGAAGAAGGUUUUCGGAUCGUAAAGCUCUGUUGUAAGAGAAGAACGAGUGUGAGAGUGGAAAGUUCACACUGUGACGGUAUCUUACCAGAAAGGGACGGCUAACUACGUG
RNAcentral lists this ribosomal RNA (495 nucleotides) under uncultured bacterium. RNAcentral describes it as "partial 16S ribosomal RNA". It matches the Rfam family "Bacterial small subunit ribosomal RNA", at positions 28 to 507 of the family's 1533-position model. The record is from RNAcentral.